UUUUGUGCAGAUGUCCCUGAAAGACGUGAGCAACUGUAGAUACCGCCCUGGAUAUUUCAUUUGCAUCAUUGCCCAUGCUGAAUUGGUCAUCACACUCGUACACCAUCAUGUCAGGCAAAGAUGGGCAUCGGGAGCUGGAGCUGACAGAGGGAACUCAUCUGCGCUCUCCACGGAUUCGAACCGGCAACCUUCAGUUCCGCAGUUACAAUUCUGGUCUACCUCCCUCAGGACAUCAUAA
Molecule: long non-coding RNA, 238 nt
Filed under: Anolis carolinensis (green anole)
Lineage: Eukaryota; Metazoa; Chordata; Lepidosauria; Squamata; Anolidae
Description: lncRNA (ENSACAG00000029868.2)
Source: RNAcentral